Molecule: long non-coding RNA, 340 nt
Organism: Fukomys damarensis (Damara mole-rat)
Lineage: Eukaryota; Metazoa; Chordata; Mammalia; Rodentia; Bathyergidae
Exons: 3
Source: RefSeq, a predicted model, not a curated record
GGCUCCUCAAUGUAUCCCAGCCAUCCCUGGGUUGCGCUGAGCCCAUGAACCCACAAGCAGUGACUUCUAUCCUACAAGAGCAGACUUUCUGUCAUAACAGAAGCUAAUCCUAACUGAAACAAUUAUUGAGUGAUCAUUUACAACAUGGCAAAUCACAUCAUCACCUUACCUGGAGCACUGUAGAGAAAAUGGAAGAGAAUCCCUGAGCUAAAAUGAAGAGGCAACAGCAAGUUCAGAGACCCCACUAUCAAUGAAAGGCUACAGAACAGAGACAAGAAAAACUCAUGGGAGAAGACAGAUACAGACUCCUGAUAAUUCACACAGCCAAUCCCAGGAGGAG